Molecule: ribosomal RNA, 429 nt
Filed under: Bacteroidota bacterium
Lineage: Bacteria; Pseudomonadati; Bacteroidota
Description: Bacteroidetes bacterium partial 16S ribosomal RNA
Rfam family: Bacterial small subunit ribosomal RNA
Source: RNAcentral
UAGGGAAUCUUCCGCAAUGGACGCAAGUCUGACGGAGCAACGCCGCGUGAGUGAAGAAGGAUUUCGGUUCGUAAAACUCUGUUGUUAGAGAAGAACAGCGCAUAGAGUAACUGUUAUGCGUGUGACGGUAUCUAACCAGAAAGCCACGGCUAACUACGUGCCAGCAGCCGCGGUAAUACGUAGGUGGCAAGCGUUGUCCGGAUUUAUUGGGCGUAAAGCGAGCGCAGGCGGUCAAUUAAGUCUGAUGUGAAAGCACCCGGCUCAACCGGGGAGGGUCAUUGGAAACUGGUUGACUUGAGUGCAGAAGAGGAGAGUGGAAUUCCAUGUGUAGCGGUGAAAUGCGUAGAUAUAUGGAGGAACACCAGUGGCGAAGGCGACUAUCUGGUCUGUAACUGACGCUGAGGCUCGAAAGCGUAGGUAGCAAACAGG